GAGACAAGUGUCAGGGACAGAGAACUAGUACAAGUUUGCAAGCAGCAUAGUGGGUUCUUGGCUUUGAACAUGGUCUGGAGUAUCGGCGUGCAAAUUGUGGGCCACUGGCAAAUUUCAGGAGCGUAAGAAUGUAAAAAAGAAGUGAGGUGGGGCUGCUGGUGCAGAGUGGCCGCUGUGUGUCACCCAGGUGGGGCAGAUGGUGCAGAAUGGCCCUGUGUUGCCCAGACCCCUCCCCCCAGUCCAGAGCGCCCCGGAUUCUGCUCCUCUUACCCUCCACGUACUCCAUGACCAUGCACAGGUGGCGGCGCGUC
Lepisosteus oculatus (spotted gar) is the source of this 311-nucleotide non-coding RNA. The record is from RefSeq and is a predicted model, not a curated record. Lineage: Eukaryota; Metazoa; Chordata; Actinopteri; Semionotiformes; Lepisosteidae.